AUACGGAGGAUGCGAGCGUUAUCCGGAUUUAUUGGGUUUAAAGGGUGCGUAGGCUGUGCGUUAAGUCAGGGGUGAAAUGCCGUCGCUCAACGACGGAGCUGCCCUUGAUACUGGCGUGCUGGAGUACGGAUGCCGUUGGAGGAAUGAGGGGUGUAGCGGUGAAAUGCUUAGAUAUCACUCAGAACACCGAUUGCGAAGGCAUCUGACGAAUCCGUCACUGACGCUGAGGCACGAAAGCGUGGGGAUAGAACAGGAUUAGAUACCCUGGUAUUCCACGCCGUAAACGAUGAUGACUAACCGUCGGCGAUAGACAGCCGGUGGCCAAGCGAAAGCGAUAAGUCAUCCACCUGGGGAGUACGGCGGCAACGAUGAAACUCAAAUGAAUUGACGGGG
This 393-nucleotide ribosomal RNA is filed under the name uncultured bacterium. RNAcentral describes it as "partial 16S ribosomal RNA". It matches the Rfam family "Bacterial small subunit ribosomal RNA", at positions 523 to 918 of the family's 1533-position model. The record is from RNAcentral.